Molecule: ribosomal RNA, 1208 nt
Filed under: metagenome
Description: bacterial LSU rRNA
Rfam family: Bacterial large subunit ribosomal RNA
Source: RNAcentral
AAGAAGGUAUGCCUUCGACGGUGUAGGGAUUUACUCCCGAAGCUGUUGAAGGUCGCAGGUAAUCGGUGGCUGCGACUGUUUAUCAAAAACACAGGACUCUGCGAACACGCAAGUGGAAGUAUAGGGUCUGACGCCUGCCCGGUGCCGGAAGGUUAAUUGAUGGGGUUAGCCGCAAGGCGAAGCUCUUGAUCGAAGCCCCGGUAAACGGCGGCCGUAACAAUAACGGUCCUAAGGUAGCGAAAUUCCUUGUCGGGUAAGUUCCGACCUGCACGAAUGGCGUAACGCUGGCCACACUGUCUCGACCCGAGACUCAGUGAAGUUGAAAUCGCUGUGAAGAUGCGACGUUCCCGCGGCAAGACGGAAAGACCCCGUGAACCUUCGCUACAGCUUUACAUUGAACUUUGAAUCUUCCUGUGUAGCAUAGGUGGGAGGCUUUGAAGCCUGGGCGCUAGCUCAGGUGGAGCCAACGUUGAAAUACCACCCUGGGAUAUUCGGAGUUCUAACCUUGGUCCGUAAUCCGGAUUGGGGACAAUGUAUGGUGGGUAGUUUGACUGGGGCGGUCUCCUCCCAAAGAGUAACGGAGGAGUGCAAUGGUACGCUCAGCGCGGUCGGUCAUCGCGCUCUAGAGUGCAAAGGCAUAAGCGUGCUUAACUGUGAGACAGACACGUCGAACAGGUACGAAAGUAGGUCUUAGUGAUCCGGUGGUUCUGUAUGGAAGGGCCAUCGUUCAACGGAUAAAAGGUACUCCGGGGAUAACAGGCUUAUUCCUCCCAAGAGUCCACAUCGACGGAGGAGUUUGGCACCUCGAUGUCGGCUCAUCACAUCCUGGGGCUGUAGCAGGUCCCAAGGGUAUGGCUGUUCGCCAUUUAAAGCGGUACGCGAGCUGGGUUCAGAACGUCGUGAGACAGUUCGGUCCCUAUCUGCCGUGGGCGUUGGAAACUUGAGGGUGAGCUGUCCUUAGUACGAGAGGACCGGGAUGGACGUAUCUCUGGUGUUCUGGUUGUCACGCCAGUGGCACUGCCGGGUAGCUAUAUACGGACGGGAUAAGCGCUGAAAGCAUCUAAGCGCGAAGCCCCCCCCAAGAUUAGGUUUCCCUGGGAACUCGAUUCCCCUAAAGGGCCGUCGGAGACUACGACGUUGAUAGGCUGGGUGUGUAAGUGCAGCGAUGCAUUGAGCUAACCAGUACUAAUUGCCCGUGAGGCUUGAUC